AUUGAACGCUGGCGGCAUGCCUUACACAAGCAAGUCGAACGGUAACAGGUCUUCGGAUGCUGACGAGUGGCGAACGGGUGAGUAAUACAUCGGAACGUGCCUAGUAGUGGGGGAUAACUACUCGAAGGAGUGGCUAAUACCGCAUGAGAUCUACGGAUGAAAGCAGGGGAUCGCAAGACCUUGUGCUACUAGAGCGGCCGAUGGCAGAUUAGGUUGUUGGUGGGAUAAAAGCUUACCAAGCCGACGAUCUGUAGCUGGUCUGAGAGGACGAUCAGCCACACUGGGACUGAGAAACGGCCCAGACUCCUACGGGAGGCAGCAGUGGGGAAUUUUGGACAAUGGGCGAAAGCCUGAUACAGCAAUGCCGCGUGCAGAAUGAAGGCCUUCGGGUUGUAAACUGCUUUUGUACGGAACGAAAAGCCCCGGGUUAAUACCCUGGGUUCAUGACGGUACCGUAAGAAUAAGCACCGGCUAACUACGUGCCAGCCGCCGCCGUAA
This 498-nucleotide ribosomal RNA is filed under the name uncultured bacterium. RNAcentral describes it as "partial 16S ribosomal RNA". It matches the Rfam family "Bacterial small subunit ribosomal RNA", at positions 30 to 523 of the family's 1533-position model. The record is from RNAcentral.